UUAUAUUGGAGGGCAAGUCUGGUGCCAGCAGCCGCGGUAAUUCCAGCUCCAAUAGCGUAUAUUAAAGUUGUUGCGGUUAAAAAGCUCGUAGUUGGAUCUCAGCUCACGCUAAGUGGUCCACUUAAUGGUGGUUACUACUUAGCUGAGCAUUUUACAGAUUUGUCUCUUGAUGCUCUUCACCGAGUGUCAAGAGUGGUCUGUACGUUUACUUUGAAAAAAUUAGAGUGCUUAAAGCAGGCAACUCGCCCGAAUAAUCUUGCAUGGAAUAAUGGAAUAGGACCUUGGUUCUAUUUUGUUGGUCUCCGGAAUCUGAGGUAAUGAUUAAGAGGGACAGACGGGGGCAUUCGUAUUGCGCCGCUAGAGGUGAAAUUCUUGGACCGGCGCAAGACGAACUACAGCGAAAGCAUUGCCAAGAAUGUUUUCAUUAAUCAAGAACGAAAGUUAGAGGUUCGAAGGCGAUCAGAUACCGUCCCUAGUUCUAACCAUAAACGAUGCCAAA
Molecule: ribosomal RNA, 499 nt
Filed under: Quadraseta brasiliensis
Lineage: Eukaryota; Metazoa; Arthropoda; Arachnida; Trombidiformes; Trombiculidae
Description: SSU rRNA
Rfam family: Eukaryotic small subunit ribosomal RNA
Source: RNAcentral